RNAcentral lists this ribosomal RNA (544 nucleotides) under Mycena lammiensis. RNAcentral's name for it is "eukaryotic LSU rRNA". It matches the Rfam family "Eukaryotic large subunit ribosomal RNA", at positions 77 to 621 of the family's 3401-position model. The record is from RNAcentral. Lineage: Eukaryota; Fungi; Basidiomycota; Agaricomycetes; Agaricales; Mycenaceae.
CCCCUAGUAACUGCGAGUGAAGCGGGAAAAGCUCAAAUUUAAAAUCUGGCGGUUUCACCGUCCGAGUUGUAAUUUAGAGAAGUGCUAUCCGCGCUGGACCGUGUACAAGUCUCCUGGAAUGGAGCGUCAUAGAGGGUGAGAAUCCCGUCUUUGACACGGACUGCCAGGGCAUUGUGAUGCGCUCUCAAAGAGUCGAGUUGUUUGGGAUUGCAGCUCAAAAUGGGUGGUAAAUUCCAUCUAAAGCUAAAUAUUGGGGAGAGACCGAUAGCGAACAAGUACCGUGAGGGAAAGAUGAAAAGAACUUUGGAAAGAGAGUUAAACAGUACGUGAAAUUGCUGAAAGGGAAACGCUUGAAGUCAGUCGCGUUGUUCGGGAUUCAGCUUUAGCUUCUGCUAGGUGGAUUUCCUGUUCGACGGGUCAGCAUCAGUUUUGGCCGGUGGAUAAAGGUUCAGAGAAUGUGGCAUCCUCGGAUGUGUUAUAGCUCUGGGUCGCAUACAUCGGCUGGGACUGAGGAACUCAGCACGCCGCAAGGCCAGGUUCGACC